RNAcentral lists this non-coding RNA (23 nucleotides) under Cricetulus griseus (Chinese hamster). The record is from RNAcentral. Lineage: Eukaryota; Metazoa; Chordata; Mammalia; Rodentia; Cricetidae.
CAAUGAUUGGGAGGACCACUUGG